Long non-coding RNA from Homo sapiens (human), 853 nucleotides. Ensembl annotates it as JUN divergent transcript. Its record names the gene JUN-DT. Lineage: Eukaryota; Metazoa; Chordata; Mammalia; Primates; Hominidae. The record is from Ensembl.
AGUUUCCUUUGCUCCAGGACCGGAUGCGGAGCCGGGACUCAGGUGGAGGCAGGAGAAAUACGCACCCUGGGUGCACCUAUUCCUAUCAGGCGAAGGCCGCCUUUCCUGGCCUCCCCCACAGGCCCGCCAGCGAUUCGUCCUUACAAGGCUAGCCUCCACGGGCUGCCCUCUGUGUAAAUAAAGCCACAGACUUCCGCCCACAGGUCGCCGCAGGUCCCGCCCGCAGCGCCGGGCCGCGGGGGAGGCGGGAACUGGUGCUACGGCCGCUACGCAGGCCUCGGGAGGCUCGGAGCCCGCCACGCCCCAGCCCUCUCGCAGGGCCGGGGAGCCACGGGGCCAAAAGGAGGAGCAGGUGGAAGAAAUCCAGGCUCAGACCGUCGGAGUCCCCACCCAUGAGCACCCUUCUCCACUGAUCACUCAGAACAUGGUAGGCCCUAGAGAGACAGCAGCCCGAAUCUUCCCAGAAACCCUGCAGGAGAUUCCUUCUUCCCAUUUUAUAGAAGGGAGGCUGAGGCUCGGCACGUUGAAAUGGCUUGACCAAGGUCCCACAGGCAAAAAAAUGGUACAGCAAGAUAUUGUAACCCAAUAUCUGGCUGCAAAACCCAGUCUCUCCCCAACCCACCUAUCGUCACCGAGAUUGUAAAACUUCUAACCGGGAAGAAUCAAAUACAUGCACAACGGGUUACAGGUUAACAGACAGAUGGGAGCGGAAAGGGACAUUCCAGCGCUUCCCUGGGCGUGUCGCACAGGGCAACUCCAACCACAGGCGAAUUUUCCUGGGUGACAGUUAAACUCCUUUUUGCAUGAAAAAAUACAGAUUCUUAUUAAAACAAUAAUCGAUUAGACUAUAAAA